This 493-nucleotide ribosomal RNA is filed under the name uncultured bacterium. RNAcentral describes it as "bacterial SSU rRNA". It matches the Rfam family "Bacterial small subunit ribosomal RNA", at positions 30 to 518 of the family's 1533-position model. The record is from RNAcentral.
UGAACGCUAGCGACAGGCCUAACACAUGCAAGUCAGGGGCAGCACAAGGAGCAAUCUGAGGUGGCGACCGGCGCACGGGUGAGUAACACGUAUGCAACCUGCCUGUAAGCGGGGAAUAACCCGUUGAAAGACGGACUAAUACCGCAUAAUACUAAAUUACUGCAUGGUAAUUUAUUUAAACAUUUAUGGCUUACAGAUGGGCAUGCGCAUGAUUAGCUAGUUGGAGAGGUAACGGCUCCCCAAGGCAACGAUCAUUAGGGGUUCUGAGAGGAAGGUCCCCCCACACUGGUACUGAGACACGGACCAGACUCCUACGGGAGGCAGCAGUGAGGAAUAUUGGUCAAUGGACGAGAGUCUGAACCAGCCAAGUCGCGUGCAGGAAGAAUGUCCUAUGGAUUGUAAACUGCUUUUGCAGGGGAAUAAAGUGUAUCACGUGUGAUGUUUUGUAUGUACUCUGCGAAUAAGGAUCGGCUAACUCCGUGCCAGCCGCCGC